CGCAAUGUGCGUUCAAAGAUUCGAUGAUUCACUGAAUUCUGCAAUUCACAUUACUUAUCGCAUUUCGCUGCGUUCUUCAUCGAUGCCAGAACCAAGAGAUCCGUUGUUAAAAGUUUUGAUUAUUUGCUUGUACCACUCAGAAGAAACGUCGUUAAAU
RNAcentral lists this ribosomal RNA (157 nucleotides) under Colletotrichum sp. Vega593. Its description in RNAcentral is "5.8S ribosomal RNA". The record is from RNAcentral. Lineage: Eukaryota; Fungi; Ascomycota; Sordariomycetes; Glomerellales; Glomerellaceae.